UAUACAAGUAUUUAGACAAGUUGACACUACGAUUGAGACUCGAUAUAUGUAAUCAGAUUUUGGACAAAUAUAGCGUGAUCAACUAUAUUUGCCCAAGAUUGGACCAACGUAUAUCGAGGAAUGAUCGUAGUAAGCAACAAGUCAAAACUUACCAAACCAUUACAAGAAUCAAACACAAGAAUUUAAAUACUAUAGGAGUAUUUGCUAUCUAAACUAGUUUAACUUACAUGUUUUGCAUGUUUCAACUUUAUUCCAUUCUUAUAACCCUAUUUCUCGUACAGUCAAAUGGCUGGAUUUCACCACCCUGGCGACCCCUACUUUCCCAACCAAGGCAACGGAGGAUGGAUCGAAGAUGAUCCCGAAGAGGACGAGGAACCCAUAGAAGUGGGUGAUGACUCCGGUACCGACUCAGAGCCGGAAGUUAUCGAUCCACCACCCAUUCAACCUCCCGUCUUCGUAAGGAACUUUCAAGGACCGACUCCCGUCUGGGGAAGUCACCUCCACCAUUGGAGCCAACAGCAAAACCUACGCCCUCCCUACGGCAUGUGCCGGGACUUCUAUGAUGUCCGCGGCGGAGGUUCAGCUGAUCGAGCACUCCCGGUAAUGGUGGGUAAGUUAGCCAAUCAGUCCUAUCAGUCUGGAGUUCAAGCUAGUCGACUCCGGGAUGUCAACGUGGAAGUGCAGGUUCACACUUCUGACAUCCGUAGGCUGGACAAGAUACAAGACAAUGCUCAACUCCAAACCGAAGCAUUUCAAGCGCAAAUGAUUGCAGCCCUCGCUGAACUGAGGGAACAACAAGCCGCUUUUGAUAGGCGUCUAAUGGAGUCGAAGCAAUCAGAUGCGGAGUCAAGCUCCAAGCGCAACCUUCGACGCAAGUAGUGCUUGUCAAGGACUCAAAUUUUGUUAUAGCUUAGGACCUCGGCUAAAAGUCUUUAAAUUUCUCGAACUUUGUAAUCGGAGACCCUUAUAGGGGUCAAAUUUUCAUGAUCGUUGUAACAACUUUUAUAUUAAUAUAAGUGACACUAUUACUACUAUGUUAAGUAUUUCGUUCGAACCUUGAAUGGUCUUUGUGAAACCAAAUACUUGUUUCAUACCUUCAGUCUUACAAAUAACUUUCAUUCUUCUAUUUUAAGACUCAUACUAUCAUCUGUGGUUGAACUAUAGCGAUUUAGUUCAUGAGACACAUACAUUUUCUAUUCUAUGAAAUUCUUAUCCUUGUCUUCUCAACCUAUAGUUAAAGGAUGCCUCCGCGUAGAAAUCCAAGGCGGAACAAUGGUGGGGAAGCACCAGUUUCUAUUCUAUGAAAUUCUUAUCCUUGUCUUCUCAACCUAUAGUUAAAGGAUGCCUCCGCGUAGAAAUCCAAGGCGGAACAAUGGUGGGGAAGCACCAGUACCACCUCC
Molecule: long non-coding RNA, 1400 nt
Filed under: Lactuca sativa (garden lettuce)
Lineage: Eukaryota; Viridiplantae; Streptophyta; Magnoliopsida; Asterales; Asteraceae
Description: long non-coding RNA (LSAT_LNC007353)
Source: RNAcentral